Biomphalaria glabrata is the source of this 1040-nucleotide long non-coding RNA. RefSeq lists it as uncharacterized. The transcript is spliced from 2 exons. NCBI's taxonomy places the organism in Eukaryota, Metazoa, Mollusca, Gastropoda, Planorbidae. The record is from RefSeq and is a predicted model, not a curated record.
AACACUUCUUAAGGACAUCAUUAACUUUACUCGUACAAUGAUUUUUUUUCAAUAUUUUAUUUACUUUUUUUUUUAAAGAAUUUUUAAUUAAUAUUUAUCCUGUUUUUUUAGGUCUAAAAAAUACUAAAAAUUCAAAAAUUUGUAAAAAAUUUAACAUACUUAAAUCUUUAAUUCUGACGUUGUAUCAAUUUAGAGGACCCUUUUUUGUUAUCUUUUUAUUCAAUUUCAUGUAUUUCUGAUCAAUAGUUUUUACAAAAUUCCGACUUUUAAUUUGUAUACAAUAAACAAUAUGGCCGCCGUUACCAUGGCAACCAUCAUUCAAAAAACUUUUUUUUAGCAUUAUUUAUUUUAGAAUAUCAUUAUAUGUUACCAUAACAAAUUUCAAAGACCUAGCUUCAGAAAUAACAAAAAUAAGAUUUUCAGGGAUACCUCCCCUUAAGUAUCGUCUGUAUUUUAUAAGAUAAUUAUGAUAUGAGAGACUUAUAAUAGCUUUUUACAAAAAAUAAUGUUUAUAUAUUAAGGAAUUCGACCUUAACCAGAACGGAAAUGUCUCUCUACAAUACGAUUCUGCAGGCACACACACUAAAUACAAUGUCAUACGAGAUAAACCAUAGGUUCGAUUUAUACGUUCCAAGACUGAAGGAGGCUUACAACAACAAAGAAGCGAUAUUUUAAUAAGAGAUGAAGAUAAUUUACUUCCUAAUCCAAACCUCCUGCAAGAUGAUGGGGGUUGGCAGCAGGGAGGGUUUGAACCCAGGACAAUAGAGAUGAUUGAACAACAGUCCAGCUUGCACACCACGUGACCAGGCGGCCAUCCAAUUGUUAUCUUAGAAUGUAUAAAUUACUGAUGUUUCUAAUUAUAUACAUCAUUUUUGUUAAAUAAUAAAUAAAGAUUUUAGUUGUAUUAAGUAAUUGGUUAACCAGCUGAAUCAGGCAACCUAUUUUAUGCUAACUGGUUCUUGGAAAGAAGAUCUUAUUUUAAAUGAUUAUCUUAGCAUAGAGGAUAUUUCUACUGGAUAAAUAAAUAAAUGUGUACUAUU